RNAcentral lists this unclassified non-coding RNA (215 nucleotides) under Hevea brasiliensis (rubber tree). Lineage: Eukaryota; Viridiplantae; Streptophyta; Magnoliopsida; Malpighiales; Euphorbiaceae. The record is from RNAcentral.
CUCUCUUUAUCAUGGUCAACAUCAAACACUGUAUCAUAAAGUCCUGUCCGUUGAAAUCUAAGGUUCGCCAAAUUGCAUGCAUGAUGAGAUGGAUUCCUUUCUAAUGUGUUAGGCGAGUGAUGAUCCCUUCUAAAGGGAUAUAAGCUUUCUUUAAACCAAGCCUCUGCUACAAAGCCUCCUUGGCUGCUCUCAACAUUCUCAGAUGUGUAGAGAAC